This 305-nucleotide ribosomal RNA is filed under the name uncultured bacterium. RNAcentral describes it as "partial 16S ribosomal RNA". It matches the Rfam family "Bacterial small subunit ribosomal RNA", at positions 506 to 807 of the family's 1533-position model. The record is from RNAcentral.
ACAGCAGUAGCCGCGGGAAAACGUAGGGUGCAAGCGUUAAUCGGAAUUACUGGGCGUAAAGCGUGCGCAGGCGGUUCUAUAAGACAGAUGUGAAAUCCCCGGGCUCAACCUGGGAACUGCAUUUGUGACUGUAGAGCUGGAGUGCGGCAGAGGGGGAUGGAAUUCCGCGUGUAGCAGUGAAAUGCGUAGAUAUGCGGAGGAACACCGAUGGCGAAGGCAAUCCCCUGGGCCUGCACUGACGCUCAUGCACGAAAGCGUGGGGAGCAAACAGGAUUAGAGACCCGCGUAGUCCCUGUCUCUUAUAC